CCCCUCUUCGGGGUUGCACCUGGAGAGUUUCCAGGACUCUACCAGUCUCGGCUACGGGAGGGAGAGUCAAGCAGAGGCCUGUCCAUUCCAUUCCUAGCUUGGGCAGUGGCUAGCAAGCGGAAGGCCAUCUGCUACAAGU
RNAcentral lists this small nucleolar RNA (139 nucleotides) under Ornithorhynchus anatinus (platypus). The record is from RNAcentral. Lineage: Eukaryota; Metazoa; Chordata; Mammalia; Monotremata; Ornithorhynchidae.